AUAAUAACAAUAUUGCUAAUAAUUGGUUAAUAUUCAGGUCACGGAAUGUAAAUGGAGUAUUCCUGGCAUUAUUUUGGAUGGUUAUUUAUUGGGUUUUAUGAGCGUAAUAAAGCGGUAGAAAAUGGAUGGAUGGAUGAGCGGAAUACAGAACUUCUUAUUGACUCCAUUGUAAGCGGAUUUUUAGUUAUGUUUAUUUACGAGUUUGAAUGCAUCAAAAUAAGAAAACCGUGUUCUUGUGUCUCAUAAAGAUUGUGAAUUAUAGGCAAAAUUCCCCCAAAAAUCCAGUUCCCCUUUACAGAGGUGCCUUGAGGAACACCUCAGUUAUGUACGUCACAAGUUUGGACCUCAGUGUUCUAUAUCAGUUAGCAAGGUUAAAAUGUCAAUGCAUGGAUCUGCCAAUGUGUUAACAGUGGUCCAAGUUCCUCUAUACAACAAGAGCACUCUCGUAUUUUUCGCAAUUUGCUGCAAAAAUGUUUGUUUCACAAGUUUUGAACUGAACCUGGGACUGGAAUGAUGUCAUUUCUGGGCUGGAUUUGGCCCCCGGGCCGCCAGUUGAAUAGCCCUGAAAUAAACCAUGUUUUUCAAUUCCCCAACAAAAAUAUCAAUUACCAAAACAUACGUUCACCCUACUUUCUGUACUUGUACUACUUGAAGGGUUAAUUUGUUUGCGAGAUUGUACAAAAAAUAUGCAACAGAUUUUUUUGUACACAUGUAAUGUGAUUAACAUAUUUUCUUAUCAUUCUUCUGUUACAGUCCACUUGCAUUGGAGCCAAAUGGUGCAGUACUUGGCCAGAUCCAGCAGAUAGAGCGGCACCUGCAUUGGUGGAAUAUCCCGUUACAUUAUGUAAUUUUUUUAAUCAUCGAACAGAGCUUUUUUAAACGGGACUGUCUCGACCCCAAUGAUGGAGACGGAGUGGGCCUUGUCCGUCAGAGCUGCAGCCACCUCCAUACCUGCCAACAGUCUCAAUCAACACUUAAAAUGUUCAGACUUUAGGCCUGUCAUAAGGAGGAUGUCUGUCCAUGGUGCACAUGACGAUGCGGUCCGUGAAGCCCUCUUGCCUCAGCGUCUCCGCACACACCAGACCUGCUGGACCUGCACACAUCAACCAUCACUCAGAUCUUUGACAUGGCAGACGGAGGCCUCCACGUAGUCUCGUGAUUUGUGGUACGCUUGGAGAGGGGUGGAGUCGUCGUCCGAGCUGUGCCCCAGGGCCCCAUUUGGCCUGCAGUCCGCAAAGGGACUCGCCUUGCCAUUAGGAACAGAUCUCAGCUACAAGAGGCCGCCCAAACUCAAAUUGAGGACAAAUCAAGUGUGACAACUCCACAAGUGGAACAAAUGAAAGAAGGGAGAAGGUGUCUGGACUAAUUUAAAGGGCAAACCUGCCCUCUUUCUUGUCUUUUUUUUUCUUUUUGUUGGCUAUCAUCAUGAAUUCAUUCAUGCUCAGUCUUAAAGCUCAUAAACAGUCUUCUAAGCAGCAAAACAUUUAACAUGGGAAUAUUUUGGUGCUGUCAAACAAUUUCAAUUUGUAAUCAGAUUAAUUACAAUGAAUCACAAUUAGACAUAUCAUUCAUUUUCAUAUAUAUUAAUGGUCAUUUUGCAUGCGCAAAGAGACUCAAGAAAGAGGGUAAAAUACAGUGGAACCUCGAUUUACAAACUUAAUUGGUUCUUGAACAGGGUUCGUAAAUUGAAAAGUUCAUAUAGCGAUACACAAUGCUCCAUAAGAAACAAUGCAAAUAUGAAUAAUGGGUUCCAGCCUCAACAGAAGUCCAUAUUUAAGUGGUUUGUACACUUUGAACACAUAAAGUGCUAUUCAGGACUGUAUAUCAAAGAAACAUAACAAGGGGGUGAUGGAUCAACUUUCGAUUUAGUAACAGGCCAAAAUGACAACACUGACAAGCUACUGUAUUUUGUAUGAGCUGCACUGCCAACACGCGCACACACACAGGGUGCUCUCACAAACAAUCAGAAAUCACAAAAGUACGUAACUUCAACAACCAUAUAGCUACAAUAAUGAACAUUUACAAAACUAAAAUCCACUGACAUUAAAGGAGAACAUUAUCACCAGACCUAUGUAAGCAUCAAUAUAUACUUUGAUGUUGCAGAAAAAAGACCAUAUAUUUUUUUAACCGAUUUCCGAACUCUAAAUGGGUGAAUUUUGGCGAAUUAAACGCCUUUCUAAUAUUCGCUCUCGGAGCAUCGGGAAGCAAUCCGCCAUUUUCUCAAACACCGAGUCAAAUCAGCUCUGUUAUUUUCCGUUUUUUCGACUGUUUUCCGUACCUUGGAGACAUCAUGCCUCGUCGGUGUGUUGUCGGAGGGUGUAACAACACGAACAGGGACGGAUUCAAGUUGCACCAGUGGCCCAAAGAUGCGAAAGUGGCAAGAAAUUGGACGUUUGUUCCGCACACUUUACCGGCGAAAGCUAUGCUACGACAGAGAUGGCAAGAAUGUGUGGAUAUCCUGCGACACUCAAAGCAGAUGCAUUUCCAACGAUA
Molecule: long non-coding RNA, 2493 nt
Organism: Nerophis lumbriciformis (worm pipefish)
Lineage: Eukaryota; Metazoa; Chordata; Actinopteri; Syngnathiformes; Syngnathidae
Source: RefSeq, a predicted model, not a curated record